This 1636-nucleotide long non-coding RNA is filed under the name Manihot esculenta (cassava). Its description in RNAcentral is "long non-coding RNA (MESC_LNC002623)". Lineage: Eukaryota; Viridiplantae; Streptophyta; Magnoliopsida; Malpighiales; Euphorbiaceae. The record is from RNAcentral.
GUAAUUGCAGGUUGCAGUGAUUUGUUCUUCUGGCUUGGGGAGGAAGCGUACAGACAGCAGAGGGAGAAGAUGAUACACCGAAAAUGGAGUCUACUAACUGGUCCAGUGGCAAUCUUGGGCGGGAUCGUUGCAACGGUGGUCGUCGCCAACUUAAUCUUCGUUAAGGAUGUAAAGUUCUCUUCUCUUUUCCUUCGAUUUCCAAACCCUAGAUUUUAUAUUUGAGUUUUGGUAUCGGGGGAAUCGAAGGAUGUAUUUUCAUUUAAGAUUUCGAUUGAAAUUAUUCAUUGGAAUGAUUUGCAUUCGGUUUUAUUCGUCAUUCUUAUAUCUAAAUCGUAGGAGACAUCUAAACCUUUUGGCUAUUCGAUCGUGUCUCUGAUCGUAAUCGUAAAAAUUAGAUUUGUUUAACUUAGUUGUGAAUUAAGAAUAACACUUUUUGAAUGAUUGUGGGAGCUAUCAUUCUUUGUUAAAAUAAAGAGCGUCGCUCUCUGUUUAACUUCUGUUCAAAAAAUAUUAAAUGGAAAAACCUGUUCUGUCAUUCUUUAGAUGUUGUUAAUUAUUAGCUAGGUAGUUGAGUUUCUUUGCUGCAAUGAAAGCGCCAGUAGAGCCAGUAAGCAACGUGCACACCUGCUACACAUUUUUUACUUGAACUAAUUUCUUUAGCUGGAUUAUUUCAUAAACUGCUAGUUAUUCAAACCAAAGCUUUUUAUGCAGGGCGUAACCAUACACAUGCUAACACAUUGCGAUAUAUUUGAAAUUUGCAGGACCCAUUUCUUAAACCAAAGAAAAAGAACCAAGAUUCACCACCAUCAACCAAAUAGAACAGAAGCAAAGUGAAUUGCUUAAUGGAUGUGUUGUAAGCUUUUCAGGUGGUUUGUGUUUGUUGAUUAUUUUUCUAGCGAAACAAAUGUUUAAGCUGCAUUUUGGUACAAGGCUCUUCUUAGUUCAAUAAAGUGGAGUUCAUGAUCAAGUUUAGUAAUUUCUCUUCAUUAUGUUCACCAAAUUGCUGUUGUUAAAUCUUGAUUGAGCUACCAUGAGAGCAAGAAAAAGCAAAAUUCAGCUGUUUUUCCUUGUUCAGUAAUGAUAAUUUUUGGGGUAGAUUGCCGAGUAGGAAUACUAUGAAUUUCUGCGUCGUGUUAGCGUAUAUCCACUUUUAAUUCAUCAAGAAUGGUUAUUAAUAAUUGAUAUGGUAAAUUUUAUUCUCUUAAAAAGAAAAAUCUUAGUAUCUUCUGGGUAUAUGAUUCACUGGUAAACGUUAUUAUUAUUAUUAUGAUUGCCUUUCAAUCCUGAGAAAGACUCCAACCCCCCUUUUCAUAGGCUGGAUGUAGCUAUUUCCACUACUCCAUGAUAAGCUUGCGUUUGAAUUAACCUUCACUGCGACAGGUGAUGAGUUGUGACUACGGUUAGGUGUGAAAAAAUAUCUUUCAUUUGACCAUCAAUGCAUGUGAUUUACAUAAAGUUAACACGUAAUUUUUCUGUAUGUUUCAGGGGAAAAUAAUCUAAGGAGUAAUUUUUCCUGAAGAAAAAGGGAAAGAGGUAAAAAUAUGAUGUAUAAACAAUGGUACAAUGAAAUAAUAUGCCCCAAAGAAUCACAAUCUCUCCCUUCACAUAUGCGAACUGCCUGGUGAGACAUUGGCAG